ACCAGGAUGGCCGAGUGGUUAAGGCGUUGCACUCAAGAUUCAAUGGACAUCAUAAGUCCUCGUGGGUUAAAAUCCCACUCCUGGUA
This is a non-coding RNA of Labrus bergylta (ballan wrasse), 86 nucleotides long. The record is from the annotation of a RefSeq genome assembly. Lineage: Eukaryota; Metazoa; Chordata; Actinopteri; Labriformes; Labridae.